AUUGAACGCUGGCGGCAUGCCUUACACGUGCAAGUCGAACGGCAGCACGGGUGCUUGCACCUGGUGGCGAGUGGCGAACGGGUGAGUAAUAUAUCGGAACGUACCUUAUUGUGGGGGAUAACGCAGCGAAAGCUGUGCUAAUACCGCAUAAUCCCUAAGGGGGAAAGCGGGGGACCGUAAGGCCUCGCGCAAUUAGAGCGGCCGAUACCUGAUUAGCUAGUUGGUGAGGUAAAGGCUCACCAAGGCAACGAUCAGUAGCUGGUCUGAGAGGACGACCAGCCACACUGGGACUGAGACACGGCCCAGACUCCUACGGGAGGCAGCAGUGGGGAAUUUUGGACAAUGGGGGCAACCCUGAUCCAGCCAUGCCGCGUGCGGGAAGAAGGCCUUCGGGUUGUAAACCGCUUUUGUCAGGGAAGAAAAGACUCCUACUAAUACUGGGGGUUCAUGACGGUACCUGAAGAAUAAGCACCGGCUAACUACGUGCCAGCCGCCGCGGUAA
RNAcentral lists this ribosomal RNA (502 nucleotides) under uncultured bacterium. Its description in RNAcentral is "partial 16S ribosomal RNA". It matches the Rfam family "Bacterial small subunit ribosomal RNA", at positions 30 to 523 of the family's 1533-position model. The record is from RNAcentral.